This 305-nucleotide long non-coding RNA is filed under the name Gossypium raimondii (Peruvian cotton). RNAcentral's name for it is "long non-coding RNA (GRAI_LNC010835)". The record is from RNAcentral. Lineage: Eukaryota; Viridiplantae; Streptophyta; Magnoliopsida; Malvales; Malvaceae.
UUCAUGUUUACGGUAUAGGGUUUAGGGGACAAGGGUGAAGGGUUAAGGGUACUUGGUUUAAUGGUUUGAGUUUAAGGUUUAGAGGUUGGAGAUUAAGGGAUAGGGGUUUAGGGGUUAAGGUAUAAGGCUGGUUUUAAGGUUUGUGGACUAGGGAUUAUGGGUUCAAGGAUUGGGGUUUAGGGGUUGGGGCUAAGGUUUAGGGUUUAAGUGUUAAAGGGUUUAGGGUUUCAGAGUAAGUGGUUUAAGGUUUUUUGGUUAAAGGUAUUGAGAGUUUAGGGUUUAGAAUAAUUAGUGUUUUUUAAUUU